This 346-nucleotide unclassified non-coding RNA is filed under the name soil metagenome. RNAcentral describes it as "partial contains 5.8S ribosomal RNA, internal transcribed spacer 2, and large subunit ribosomal RNA". The stretch from base 1 to 121 matches the Rfam family "5.8S ribosomal RNA", at positions 35 to 154 of the family's 154-position model. The record is from RNAcentral.
GAUGAAGAACGUAGCGAAAUGCGAUAAGUAAUGCGAAUUGCAGAAUUCCAGUGAGUCAUCGAAUCUUUGAACGCACAUUGCGCCCCCUGGUAUUCCGGGGGGCAUGCCUGUCCGAGCGUCAUUGCUGCCCUCAAGCACGGCUUGUGUGUUGGGCCUCCGUCCUCCUCCCGGGGGACGGGCCCGAAAGGCAGCGGCGGCACCGCGUCCGGUCCUCGAGCGUAUGGGGCUUCGUCACCCGCUCUUGUAGGCCCGGUCGGCGCUUGCCGACACAUCAAUCUUUUUUCCAGGUUGACCUCGGAUCAGGUAGGGAUACCCGCUGAACUUAAGCAUAUCAAUAAGCGGAGGA